AACGUAGGAGACAAACGUUAUCCGGAGUUACUGGGCGUAAAGGGCGUGUAGGCGGUUAGUUAAGUCUGGCGUGAAAGCUCUCGGCUAAACCGGGAGAGGUCGUUGGAUACUGGCUGACUUGAGUCCGGUAGGGGGGUGUGGAAUUCCCGGUGUAGCGGUGAAAUGCGCAGAUAUCGGGAGGAACACCAGUAGCGAAGGCGGCACCCUGGGCCGGUACUGACGCUGAGGAGCGAAAGCGUGGGGAGCAAACAGG
This 253-nucleotide ribosomal RNA is filed under the name uncultured bacterium. RNAcentral describes it as "partial 16S ribosomal RNA". It matches the Rfam family "Bacterial small subunit ribosomal RNA", at positions 524 to 776 of the family's 1533-position model. The record is from RNAcentral.